UGCAGAGGUGGCAAGCGUUGUUCGGAAUUACUGGGCGUAAAGGGCGCGUAGGCGGCCUUCUAAGUCAGACGUGAAAUCCCCCGGCUUAACCUGGGAACUGCGUCUGAUACUGGAGGGCUUGAGUGCGGGAGAGGGAUGUGGAAUUCCAGGUGUAGCGGUGAAAUGCGUAGAUAUCGUAAGGAAGACCAGUGGCGAAGGCGGGUCUCUGGACAGUUCCUGACGCUGAGGCACGAAGGCCAGGGGAGCAAACGGG
This 253-nucleotide ribosomal RNA is filed under the name uncultured bacterium. Its description in RNAcentral is "partial 16S ribosomal RNA". It matches the Rfam family "Bacterial small subunit ribosomal RNA", at positions 524 to 776 of the family's 1533-position model. The record is from RNAcentral.